GACGGAGGGGGCUAGCGUUGUUCGGAAUUACUGGGCGUAAAGCGCACGUAGGCGGCUCUUCAAGUUAGGCGUGAAAGCCCCGGGCUCAACCCGGGAAUUGCGCUUAAUACUGUUGAGCUUGAGACCGGGAGAGGAUAGCGGAAUUCCCAGUGUAGAGGUGAAAUUCGUAGAUAUUGGGAAGAACACCAGUGGCGAAGGCGGCUAUCUGGACCGGUACUGACGCUGAGGUGCGAAAGCGUGGGGAGCAAACAGG
This 253-nucleotide ribosomal RNA is filed under the name uncultured bacterium. RNAcentral describes it as "partial 16S ribosomal RNA". It matches the Rfam family "Bacterial small subunit ribosomal RNA", at positions 524 to 776 of the family's 1533-position model. The record is from RNAcentral.